Molecule: ribosomal RNA, 485 nt
Filed under: uncultured bacterium
Lineage: Bacteria
Description: bacterial SSU rRNA
Rfam family: Bacterial small subunit ribosomal RNA
Source: RNAcentral
GAUGAACGUUGGCGGCGUGCCUAAUACAUGCAAGUCGAACGAAGACUGUAGUAAUACUGUCUUAGUGGCGAACGGGUGAGUAACGCGUGGGUGACCUGCCCCGAAGUGUGGGAUAACAGUCCGAAAGGAUUGCUAAUACUGCAUAAUAUCCAAGAGAUUAGAUGCUUUUGGAUUAAAGGAGUAAUUCGCUUUGGGAGGGGCCCGCGUCCCAUCAGCUAGUUGGUAAGGUAAUGGCUUACCAAGGCGAUGACGGGUAGGGGACCUGAGAGGGUGGCCCCCCACAAUGGAACUGAAACACGGUCCAUACACCUACGGGUGGCAGCAGUAGGGAAUAUUAGUAAUGGGCGAAAGCCUGAACUAGCAACGCCGCGUGUGCGAAGAAGGCCUUCGGGUCGUAAAGCACUUUUGUAGAGGAUGAGGAAGGGCGGUACUCUCAGAAUAAGUCUCGGCUAACUACGUGCCAGCAGCCGCGGUAAACUCGUCUA